UACGGAGGGUGCAAGCAUUAAUCGGAUUUUUUGGGCAUAAAGGGCGCGUAGGCGGCCCAGCAAGUCAGAUGUGAAAUCCCGGGGCUCAACCCCGGAAUAGCAUUUGAAACUCCUGGGCUAGAGGGUAGGCGGGGAAAACGGAAUUCCACAAGUAGCGGUGAAAUGCGUAGAUAUGUGGAAGAACAUCGGUGGCGAAGGCGGUUUACUAGCUUAUUUCCUGACGCUGAGGCGCGAAAGCUAGGGGAGCAAACAGG
Molecule: ribosomal RNA, 254 nt
Filed under: uncultured bacterium
Lineage: Bacteria
Description: partial 16S ribosomal RNA
Rfam family: Bacterial small subunit ribosomal RNA
Source: RNAcentral